CCCAACUUCAACUUCUCUUUUGUUAGUUUUAGAACCCAAGUUAAUGACAUCCACUGGCUCUUUGUAUGGUUGAAUCUCCUUUUCUUCGUGCUCAAGGAGCCGUGCUAGUUCAGCUGGUAAUUCACAAUCUUUCUCACUGCCGUCUUCAGCUUGGUUGAUCAGAAAUCCAGAUUUACAGUUGAUUUUAGCCAUGUUGUAAUCAAUAGUUUUGUUUGCUCUACAUAUGAUGAGCUUAUUUUAGUAUGCAUUUUUUAGAAAAGUGGAAAAAGGAAAAAGGAAUCUUUUUCCAUUUUGUUGUUUUUUAGUGAAAAAGGAAAAUAACUGAAAGAAAAGGGAACACAAGUUUUGCAUGCAAAAAGUACUUUUUAUUUAUUCACAUAAUACUUUUAAACAUGGAGGCCCUUACAAGCUAUCAUCUCAUCUCGUGCGAGGAUGAGGGAUCAAGAAAAUAAAAUGCAUUACGUUUUUUCCGAGUACACUAUCGGAAUCACGAUGGACGUCCAAUUGGGAAGCUUGAAUCUUGGGGGACAUCUGCGAAUGAGGCUGGGUUCCCCUGGUUUGCUACUGCUGGACUCUCCAAUAACUGCCAUAGUAUGCUCAUUUUGAUAGUCAGCGUUGCUGAAUUUGAUCGGGUUGAACUGUUUUUUCUUCGGGCUCGCCUUGCGUGCUGUUGGGUGAUAACCGAUACCAAACAUGUCACGUUUCUCUGCCAUAUUGACGACUUUACCCCAACAGGGAAGUGGGCCUCUCUCCAAUGUCUGCUUGGCACUUUUCGCUGAGGAUAGGAUGGUAGCGGAAGAUUGGUUGUGAUUGGAAGUAGCGGAACCGACUUCUUCAAAUUCUAAACAAUGGAACGGAACUUCGAAGAUCCCUUCAUCUGUUUCAAAAUAUCUUAAAGAGGAGAGUUAACUGACCAACAGAUCUUCCUCACCACACACAAUUACCAGUUUGUCAUCAAUCAAGUACUUCAGCCUUUGGUGAAACGUAUAAGUGAUUUCCCCUGUGGCGUGAAUCCAUGGUCUGCACAACAAACAACUGUAAGUUGGGUUGAUAUCCAUGACUUGGAAGGUGAUGUUGAACUGGUGAGGUCCAACACAUAUAGUCAAAUCGACUUCCCUAAUAACCUACCUUCGGGAACCAUCGAAAGCUCGAAUGAUCAGUGCACUUGUCUUCAUCUCAGGCCCUUUAAACUGCAAUUGGCUUAAUGCAGAUUUUGGCAACAUAUUAAGUGAAGAACCAGUGUCAACGAGGACUCGAGAUAAAAGAGAGUCAAUUCAUGUGACCUAGAUGUGUAGUGCUUUGUUGUGGGCAUUUCCCUCAAGAGGUAGCUCUGCUUCAUUAAAUCCCAAAUGCCUAUUGGCAGUGAUAUUGGCAACCACGUCGUCAAAUUGAUCGACCGUGAUGUCUUGCAUCACAUGAGCGAAAUUUAGAACUUUCAGCAAUGCCUUGCGAUGAGCCUCAGAACUCAUUAGCAAAGACAACAUUAAUAUUUUGGAGGGAGUCUGAUUCAACUGGUCAACAAUUUUGAAAUCACUUUUCUUGAUCAAUUUGAGGAAUUCUUGGCUUUCCUCAAAAGUGAUGCUCUUCUUGUGAUCUUCAACUUGUUCUUUUUCAACCAUCGGCCCUUUACCCUUAGACGUUUCAGAUUCUGCAGCUUUAUCGUCAAUAACCUUCGUCAGCACUGAAGCAGUCGUCACGCUCGGAGCGGCAGGUACAAUUACCCCUGCCUACGGAGUCGGAGUAGGAAUGACCUUCUCUUUAAGCGGGAUAACUGUGGGUGCUGGAGACACCCUAGGAGUGUAUUUUGGGGCAAAUACAUGGCCACUCCGAGUCAUGCCUCCCGUUCCAGCAAUGUUGACGAUUUCUGUGUCAGGAAUGCAGAUUUCUUUUCCUCCCAAAUACAUUGUAGUCUCAUAAUUCCAAGGCACUGCCUUGGUAUCCUGAUACGGGAACAGAGUGGGAACACGGAAAUGAAUCGGCUGAGUCCUCUUAGGAGGAGCUUCAACCUUCUUCUUUCUGUACAUAAUUCCUAUUUGUUCAAUUACGGCCACCUCUUUUGUUGCUUUAGACUUGGAGAAUCGUAUCAACCCAAACUGUUCAAGCCUCUAUAACACAACUGACAUCGGAGUCUUCACCUCUUCAGCUCUUAGUAUAGACUCAACAUUUUCUUCUUCAAUCACAACGUUGACUGCUACGCCAGCGUGGUUUGGCAAGGGAUUAGUCUUUACGUUGGGCUUUUCCUCGGAGAAAUACAGGAUAUCUUGGACAAUCAACUCUUGGAUCCUCUUUUUGAGAGCCCAACAGUCUUCGGUGGAGUGUCCUAUGUACCCUGCAUGGAAAGCACAUGUGGCAUUAGGAUUGUGACUGCGAUUAAAGGGAGGAGAGGUUGCUAGGAGUUCUUUUGGUACGAUAGCCCCCACGUGGAUCAAAUACGACACCAACUCUACAUACGGUACCCGAAUCUUAUCAAAUUGGGGACGAUUACCAAAAUUGUUUCUAUUGUUCUGACCUCGAUUUUUUCCUUUGUCGUCACACUUGUAUUGUUGGUUCGGAUUUCUCUGAGCGGGCAUUGAUUGUUGAUUACAUUUAUGUGGUUGGUAUUGGAAUGACGAUUGUUGAUAUUGAGCUAAGGUGACGUAUGGAUACGGAUAAUACGACAUAGGGGCCAUCAAAAAUUGAUAUUGGGGGCGAGCACUCGCCGUCACAGUGUUUUCCUCCCCCUCCUUCUUCUUUGCGAAGCCCCCAUGCGGCCUCUUCUUUGAUGUUUGCGGUGCAGCCGUGUCUAUGAUUUUCCCCAAUCUCAGCCCAUUCUCUACACGCUCCCCAAUGGUUACCAUAUCAGCGAAAUUUGUUGACGAACUUCCGAUCAUCUUCUCAAAAUACAUCCCUUGUGUCGUACCCCAAUUUUGUCCGGGCAUUUUUAAUUUUUUCAAAAUUAAUUUCAGUUUUAUUUUUGCAUCAUACGCAUAGCAUGACAUACAUUUGCAUCAUGAAUAAACACCUAAAAUGUCAGUCAGAAGGAAUUUAUUUGAGAAUACAGAAAAAAUCGGUUGAAUCGUUAAAAUUUGAGAAAAGACUGUAUUUUUAAUAAGUAGGUUUUGUGCUGACAAUUUUAAUGUGACUGGUUUAUUUAUUAUUAUUAUUUUUUUUAUUUUUUUAUUUUCUUUCUUUUUUCGAAUUAAAUUUGUACUCGAUUUUUUUUAAUUGGUCAAAUAUUAGUUAGAGUUUUUUUUUAAAUAUUAUUUAAUUAAAUAUUAGUUAAUGUUUUUUAUAUUAAUUAGUUUUUUUAUAUUAGUUAGAUUUUUUCUAAAAUAGUAGUUAAUUUUAGUUUUUAAAUAUUAAUUAGUUUGUUUAGUUAGAUUUUGUAAAAUAUUAGUUAGAGUAUUUUUUUUUUAAUAUUAAUUAGUUUUUCUAAAUAUUAGUUAGUUUUUAAAUAUUAGUUAGAUUUUUCUUUUUAAUAUUAAUUAGUUUUUUUUAGUGUUAAUUAGUUUAAGAGUUAGUUAACUUUUUUAUUAGUUAAUUUUUAAAUAGUAGUUAGUUAGAGUUUUUAAAAUAUUAAUUAGUUUUUUUAUUUUUUAUGAAUAUAUGUAUUUUACAUUGGAUUCCAAUCCAUAAAAAAACAAAAAAAACAAAAUCUCCCAACGUCUCUCUCCAUCCACUCCCAACAGACCCUGCUCCACUACCUCUCCUCUCUCUCGUACCAGAAAAGACAAAAAAAGAAAAUAGAUAAAUGGGAACGUUACUCUCUCACUCUCAGACCACUAUUCACUCUCUCAAAAAAAAGACAAUCUCUCAAUUUCCUCUCAACUCUGAGCUCACACAAUCCCCUUCCUCUCUCGCCCCAAAUCUCUCACUCUCAAUUCUCAGCUGAAACUCUCACCGACAAACCCUCCUCUCUAAAAUCCGCCGCCACCACCUUCUACCACCACUAAACACUCACCAACCGUCAACCCUCCGAAUCCUUCAUCAUCUUCGUCAUCGCAACUCAACCGUUCACCGCCACCCAAAACCCCUACCGUCGCGGCGACUUCCACCUUCAAACCCUUAAACCACCUUCGAAACACCGUCAAAACCGCCGUCGCUCUCACCGGCAAACUCUCUCCAUCUACCUUCAAAUCGCGCCCUCACCGACAAACCCACACGAAACCUACUCAUCUCACAAUCUCCAAGCCGUCACCAUCCAUCAUCGCUUCCGUCCACAAUCGCGACCCAUCUUCACCGCUAAAACCUAAUCUCUAAAUCCGCCGUCAUCACCGUACCGAAGCCGUCGGUGACUUGUCAGUUCGCAACUAUCUUCGACCUUCAUCAACAGUUUGGGAUUGUGUUGUGUAAUUUUUCUGUUUUUUCAGGGAAAGUCUGAAGCUUUAGAGCCAUGGGUCCAGCACCGGUGACGAUUACAACUAGCCUCUGUUGAUAGCUUCAAAAGGAUUUUCUUAUGAUUCUGGAAACGGUUUCAAGUCGCGCUGAUUCCUCUUCUUCCGCAACAACCACAAAGACCGUUAUUACUCUACCACUCUCAGCACGGCGUCGAAACCGCUUCUUGUCCACAUUAAAGCAAGCCGGGCAGAUUGUUGAAACACCAUGGAUACGGGGAUUGGGUGGAAGAUCUCAGGCUGUUGCUGAUGAUGUACUCCUGAAAUAAGCUCUUGACAACUAUCCGUCUGUACGGUAACAGAUCGAUUUAAGCUUAUUUUAGAAUUAUGAUUGUUUCAUGACAGUAUUUGAUAUCUCUGGAUAAUGUGUGUGUUUGUGAUUUUUAUCUUCCGAUUCGUUCUGGUGGUAGAUGGUAUCAACAUAUUUUAUGCUGAAAAUUUCGUUGAGGAUUGUAAAUUUUUUCUCUGAAUAUUGUUACUCUGUGUCGUUACUGUUUCGUUUUGUGUUGAUACUACAAUAGCCCUGUAUAUAAUCACAAUUUGCGGUGACAUACUUUGAUACCAUUUUUAUUGUACAUAUUCAACUCUUGAUUAUGACUUGUUUUAGCUAUAUCAAAAGGAUUUGUUUUGUAUUGCCUGUGAAGUUUAUAGUUGCUUGUAGUAUCUCGUUCAUUUUUCAUUUGAAUUGAGAUUUGGAUUAUGAAUACCAACGUGCUUGCUUAUACACAACUUAUGCGACUUUCAGUUUGGAUUAUAUUUGGGAAGAUAUUUUAAGUGGGAACUGUAUUAAAAUUCUGCUCUUGAAUUAUUAGAUUAGUUUGUGGAUGGAUCACUAUUGUUGGUGCAAAUGAGUUAUUAGCCCACGGCAUUAUCAGAAUUCUAAUAAUCUCAUGAUUGGUUUACAACGAUUUUCUCAAAUGCAUGUUGUUUUUAUUGCUGAAAUUUAAAUUGGAUUAUCAAUUGCCUAAUGGACUUUAUAGUGUAUAUAUAAGUCUACUUUAAUCAUAAGGCAUNAGUUCCUUCCUUGAAAACACAAACUUUAGAACCUACCCUUGGGAAUUUCUAGUAAUCAGAAAAACCCGUAUUUCUUCCUGUUAUCCUGACGUACCCGACGUGUGAAUAAUCUUAAGUCUGUAUUCCUUUGCAAAAAACAUGGCAAAAUUUCAUGCAUUUGCAUAUCAUCAACAUGCAUUGCAUAUCAUCUCCCAGAAACAAAAUCUCACACCAUGUUCUGCCCUUUGUCCAGUAAACGCUGACUACUCGACACCGGUACGAGACACGCCGCAAUUACAAGAUGACACUUGAACAGCUUGAAGCUAACCAAGUUUCGAUGAGGACCGACAUUGACUCCAUGCAGGCAAAGAUGGAUCGCUUGCUUGAGACCAUGUUACUCUUGGCUCAGAAGGAGAAGGAUGCUGAGACUAACGCCGAAGCCAGGAAAAUUGCUGCCCAAUUUGGAUCACCAUCGCUCAGUAUCCCUGGAGUGAUUGACCUUGAUGGUAACCCUAAUCAGCCUAGAGAAGGACCGAUCCCUAUUCCGAUCCCAAUGGACAAUAUAAAACCCCACGAGCAUUCUACUGUAUCUGCUCGACACGGAUCUGUGAUAUGUGAUGAAGAUCCAUAUGACGCUUUCUUCAUGCCACAGCCCGUCCAGCCUGCUGUUGGAGGUCUCCCAGACCCAGCUGUUGACAGACUCCAUGCGUUGGAGGAAAAGUUUAAGUCCUUGGAGGUUCACACUACUCCCGGUUUGGACGCCGUCGAUAUGUGCUUGGUGCCAGGCCUUGUGAUUCCACAGAAGUUCAAAGUCCCGGACUUUGACAAGUACAAAGGGAUCAGCUGCCCAAGAACACACCUCAGAGCUUACUGCCGCAAAAUGGCCGCCCACAUCAGUAAUGAUCAACUCCUGAUUCAUUACUUCCAAGAUAGUCUCAGUGGGGCAUCUUUGGAGUGGUACAUGCAACUGGAGAGAGGACAGGUCCAAUCAUGGAGAGACCUUGCUGAAGCAUUCCUCAGGCAUUAUCAGUACAACACUGAUCUAGCACCCAAUCGCACCCAACUGCAAGACAUGACUCAACGCAACAAUGAGUCAUUCAAAGAAUACGCCCAGCGGUGGAGAGAGCUAGCAGCUCGUGUUCAACCUCCUCUCUUUGACAAAGAGCUAAUUGACAUGUUUAUGGGAACCCUACACACCCAGUACAUGGAGAAGAUGGUAGGAUCCAGUUUCCCAACUUUUGCUGAGGUCGUCUCCGUGGGAGAACGAAUCGAGAGCCAGAUCAAGAAGGGGAAACUACCUUGCGCUGCUAAUGCUUCAAGUGGGAUGAAGAAACCUUAUCCUAAUCUCCCAAAGAAGCCAGAAGGUCAAACCAAUUCCAUAAUGGGAGGAGGAGGAUAUAGGGCACGCCCGUAUGCUCCUAUGCCUUAUAAUCAGGUUGCCGCUGUCGUCCCGACACCAUAUCAGCCUCCAUAUCAGCAACCCCAUCAACAACAAUAUCAACAGCCUUAUCAACAAACAGCUUAUCAGCAUCAGAAUCAACAUCGACGUGCUCCACAACCACGUCCCCCCAAUCAGCAGAGGGCAAGGAGGCCAGAAAGGCAUUUCGAUCCUUUGCCAGUAUCAUAUAGCAAGAUCCUCCCCUACCUGCUAAAGGAUGGAUCGGUCGUUCUGAAGGAGAUAACACCUGUAACUCCACCAUAUCCUCCAGGCUACGACGCCAAUGCUCACUGUGAGUAUCACAUGGGUGCUCCAGGGCACACAAUAGAGAACUGUAAGGCUUUCAAGCACAAGGUUCAAGAUUUGGUUGACAGUAAAGCACUUACAUUCACGCCAGUGAGGCCAAACGUUGCAACAAACCCCAUGCCGGCGCAUGCAGAAUCAAGUGAAGCUCGAAGGUAAAGCUUCCCACCGGCCUAAACAAGCAGAGCAAUUCCGCUGAAGAACCCAGAGAUGAAGGCUUGUUCAUUUGAAUGAAGGCAAUCCUGAUGCCAUUUUUACCAUUUUGCAUUCUUGUAAUUUGAUCUUGUUUGUCUAAGUACUGUACGCUUUAAACAUUGUUAUUUGUAUUUGGUUUUGUUAAUGGGAUGGUUAUGCAUGCUUUGAAUCAAUCUUUCNGGAUGAAACCCUGCUGAUGAUGUACAGGCAUUGUUUCAAAUCCCCAAACACUGGAGAGAUAAGGAGUUAAUCCCUAGUCAACCACUUCGAGCCUAGAAGUAGGAGUUUCUUUCAGAUCUAAAAAACCUUUACGCUUAACCUGGGGCAGGGUAGUGUUCAGUUAACCUGACUACACAUACAAAUUACAAAGGUGAAGUAUCCCAUACGAGGAUCAACCAUAUGACACUCUUCACACACAUCAUGAAGUGUCGAAGGAACCAUACAAAUCCAGAAUCUAUGUCGGUUGUUCUUCAAUGACCAAUGUCCUGGCAGUCACAAUUAAAAAAAAGGUCGAAGAAAGAGCCCGCUAAGUCGAACACCCUAAAAGGAGACUUAGGCAAAAAACAGGGGCAAUCCCGAUGGAUUAAAGCUUCAAACAAAGCGGUCCAUGCAAAAGUUAGGGAUCAAAACAAAAAAUCGAAAGAGACAAUGAAAGUCCUCAACAAAAGCAAAACAAGAUUCAGUGACCACCAUACCAAAAUCAAAGGGUCGCCGACAUCCAAAAAAACGAAAUAAGGUGGCUGCCAUUCCAAGGGACUUUGAACCACCAUCUUUAUCCUUACACAUGCAAGAGAAGAAUGUGUGUGAAUUAACUGAACAUAGGAUUGGAGAUCAUCAUGAAGAAGGGGUGGGUUAAAAUAAACUUUGAGCCUUAUAUCCUUUUGUUUCAAAACCAUCGACCAACACAGCAACGCCUCAAAAGACCAAGUUGAGUAGUGGUUUAUUCUGAAAGCAUACAUACAAGUUAGUAACUGACUCCUAAAUAUUUUCCAAUAUUCUCCUCUCACUAUAUCACUCACACACUAGCUAAAUCAAGCACCGCGUUUGGACACAUGAUCCACUCGCCACACACUACCACAACACUUCCCAAAUGAAUGAUUAUUUUUCAAAACUUGCAUAACUGUUGCAUUAACAUCACCAUUUCGUAGAUAACAAUUCUUAAUUGUCAGUCAGUGCUUGACAUCGGAAAAUUCCAACAAGGAGUAAUUCAACGGGCACUUGAUUGUUGGUGCUGACACGAAUCCAGACCAUCCUGUGAAUCAGGGGCAUGGCAUCUUUUGAUCAUAUUGACCUAAGAAGUAGUCUGUGUAAGACAAAUCUCCAAGCAUCGGUUGAUCAGGGAGAAAAACACUUCAGUACUCGGCCCGUCUGAAGCAGGUCCCUCAAAGGCUAAUCAGGGGCAGACCAUAGCCAGAUUUGGACAUCAGGAAACAAACUCAGACCAUGUCAUGGGAUAAUCACUCCUAAGGUUUCUUGCAGGGAGAAUUCCUUUGAACACCCUACAAACAGGGGCAAGACAAGUUGCAAGGGGCAAAAUUCCCUUCAUAUCUUCAAGACAGUCAGGCAGAUUGCGUCAAACAUUAGUGACUGCUUGAAUUCACAACCAAAAUGUCAAAAGUUCGUACCAGUACAACAUCAUGCCUUGACAAGAAUCCUUGAGGCACGUCAAAAGCACAAUCAUCAUGCGCUGAUCACGUCGCUAUGCUCAGUUACAAGCUGGCCAAACACUUCAGAAGAAGAAACCAAGAUCUUCUCAAAGACAAAUACUCAACAUAUCAGCAAGAGAUCAAACCUGGGGCACCAAGAGUAUCCACAUCCAUUUCGUGUUCAUCAUAUCAUCAACUACUGAGUGUCGGGAAUGUCAGAUCCUUUCACCAAUCAAUAGCAUAUCCACAUUGACAAUUACCAAAAAAACCUAAAGCCCACAUUGUUGGCACCCACAUAAAACCAAAUAUAACCAACUUUGGUUUCCAGAAGAUGCAUUGCCUUUGAAAGGGGGGCCAAUCCCAAACAAACCAAUCAUUCUUUGCAUACAAACAUGCAUUUCAUGCAUCAUAUGCAUCACCUCAUACAUAAUACAUACAUAUCAUUCAUGUACAUAACACAAAUCAAGAUCCAAGGUUUAGUCGUAGGCAUACAGGCCAACCCUCAGUUGAGUCGUUAUUUUUCUCUGAGUGAGUUCCUACCCUACUAUCGGGCGUUCCCCAUUGAGUUACAUCCUUCAACCUUUUGUUGAUAAGAUGUUAUCCUCAGCUUAGUCAAACAAUGUUUCUUUAAACACCUAUUUUUUUUUUCACGUUGAGCGUCCCUCAAUGAGUCGUUUCCCAUAACCUUUUGUUGACAGAAAUUACAUCUCCCCAGAGAACAUUGGCUCUGCAACCUUUUGUUGUUGAUACCCCCAAGCAAGUCUUACCCAAUAAUGUCCCAAUACUACCCAACAAAUCGGGUUUACUGGACUUUGACAGUAGCCUUAUUUUUCCAAUAUUUUUCUCACUACCAUCCUUUUGGUGAAAGUCCAUGGAGGAAUAAUACCAGUCAUCACCUUGUUUAUGAUCACCGUUAUCCUUUUGGUAAUGGUAAAUUCUUGACAUUUGUGAUCUUACUGUCAUCCUUUUGGUGUCGAAGAUCAUUGAAGUUUUAAGCUAACCUUCAUCCUUUUGAAUCACCUUGUUUAUGAUCACCGUUAUCCUUUUGGUAAUGGUAAAUUCUUGACAUUUGUGAUCUUACUGUCAUCCUUUUGGUGUCGAAGAUCAUUGAAGUUUUAAGCUAACCUUCAUCCUUUUGGUGAUGGUGACCUCUGCAAUUAUUACACCCCACUGUCAUCCUUUUGGUGUCAGUAAUAUUUGAAGUCAUUAUAACUUAUUAUCAUCCUUUUGGUGGUAACGAGUUUCGAAGUUAUGAUUCCACCUUCAUCCUUUUGGUGAUGGUGAUUGUUGAUUCAUUAUCAUCCUUUUGGUGAUAACGAGUUCUGUUGUUUGUAGCGCCUUCAUCCUUUUGGUGAUGGUGACUAUUGACUUAUUAUCAUCCUUUUGGUGGUAACAAGUUUUGUCGUUUUAACAAUACCUUCAUCCUUUUGGUGAUGGUGAGUGUUGACUUCUUAUCAUCCUUUUGGUGAUAACAAGUUUGUGUCUUGAUCUUACCUUCAUCCUUUUGGUGAUGGCGAUCAUUUGUGUUGUCAGCUUAUUAUCAUCCUUUUGGUGGUAACUAAGUUUUGUCGUUUGACAAAUACCUUCAUCCUUUUGGUGAUGGUGAUUGUUGACUUCUUAUCAUCCUUUUGGUGAUAACAAGUUUGUGUUUUGAUCUUACCUUCAUCCUUUUGGUGAUGGUGAUCAUUUGCGUGUGUGCUUCUUAUCAUCCUUUUGGUGGUAACAAGUUUUAUCUUUUGAUUAUACCUUCAUCCUUUUGGUGAUGGUGGUUAUCAUCCUUUUGGUGAUAACAAGUUUGUGUCUUGAUCCUACCUUCAUCCUUUUGGUGAUGGUGAUCAAUUGUGUUGUGUUCUUAUUAUCAUCCUUUUGGUGAUAACAAGUUUGUGUCCUGAUUAUACCUUCAUCCUUUUGGUGAUGGUGAUUAUUGAAGUUAUCUGACUUAUUAUCAUCCUUUUGGUGAUAACAAGCUUUGUUGUUGGAUCUUACCUUCAUCCUUUUGGUGACGGUGAUCUUUGAAGUUUAUGAGUUAACUAUCAUCCUUUUGGUGAUAGCCUUGAUCCUAUACUCUCAGUAAUGGAAAAAUUUACCAGAAUGACCAUCAUCCUUUUGGUGAUAGAAAUCUGUGAAUUGUGUCUAACUUUCAUCCUUUAGGUGAUAGCGAGAUUUGUUGUUGAUCUGACCAUCAUCCUUUUGGUGAUGGCGAUCUUUGUUGCACCCACUGUAACCAUUAUCCUUUUGGUGAUGACUACCUUAAAAGCUCAGCUUAUCCAUCAUCCUUUUGGUGAUGACAAUCCUCAAAAUCAUGGUGAAUCUCUGUCAUCCUUUUGGUGUCAGAAAACCAGUCCCACCUUUGUCUUCACAUCAGAAAUAACCUGUGCCAGAUUUGAAUGUUGACUCGAGGGUUGGCAUUGAUCGAACAUCCUACCCCCAUUACCUUGGCAUCCAUUGCAUUUUCAUCUGCAUCUCUCCAUUGCAUUUCAAAGGACAAAAUUUGGAUCCUUUAGUAUUUAAUUACCUUCCACCACGAAUGUAUGAUGACCUUUAUCAUUCUUACUUUCUAGUUCAAGAUAAUUAAAUAGGGGCAGCUGUCGUACCCCAAUUUUGUCCGGGCAUUUUUAAUUUUUUCAAAAUUAAUUUCAGUUUCAUUUUUGCAUCAUACGCAUAGCAUGACAUACAUUUGCAUCAUGAAUAAACACCUAAAAUGUCAGUCAGAAGGAAUUUAUUUGAGAAUACAGAAAAAAUCGGUUGAAUCGUUAAAAUUUGAGAAAAGACUGUAUUUUUAAUAAGUAGGUUUUGUGCUGACAAUUUUAAUGUGACUGGUUUAUUUAUUAUUAUUAUUUUUUUUAUUUUUUUAUUUUCUUUCUUUUUUCGAAUUAAAUUUGUACUCGAUUUUUUUUAAUUGGUCAAAUAUUAGUUAGAGUUUUUUUUUAAAUAUUAUUUAAUUAAAUAUUAGUUAAUGUUUUUUAUAUUAAUUAGUUUUUUUAUAUUAGUUAGAUUUUUUCUAAAAUAGUAGUUAAUUUUAGUUUUUAAAUAUUAAUUAGUUUGUUUAGUUAGAUUUUGUAAAAUAUUAGUUAGAGUAUUUUUUUUUUAAUAUUAAUUAGUUUUUCUAAAUAUUAGUUAGUUUUUAAAUAUUAGUUAGAUUUUUCUUUUUAAUAUUAAUUAGUUUUUUUUAGUGUUAAUUAGUUUAAGAGUUAGUUAGCUUUUUUAUUAGUUAAUUUUUAAAUAGUAGUUAGUUAGAGUUUUUAAAAUAUUAAUUAGUUUUUUUAUUUUUUAUGAAUAUAUGUAUUUUACAUUGGAUUCCAAUCCAUAAAAAAACAAAAAAAACAAAAUCUCCCAACGUCUCUCUCCAUCCACUCCCAACAGACCCUGCUCCACUACCUCUCCUCUCUCUCGUACCAGAAAAGACAAAAAAAGAAAAUAGAUAAAUGGGAACGUUACUCUCUCACUCUCAGACCACUAUUCACUCUCUCAAAAAAAAGACAAUCUCUCAAUUUCCUCUCAACUCUGAGCUCACACAAUCCCCUUCCUCUCUCGCCCCAAAUCUCUCACUCUCAAUUCUCAGCUGAAACUCUCACCGACAAACCCUCCUCUCUAAAAUCCGCCGCCACCACCUUCUACCACCACUAAACACUCACCAACCGUCAACCCUCCGAAUCCUUCAUCAUCUUCGUCAUCGCAACUCAACCGUUCACCGCCACCCAAAACCCCUACCGUCGCGGCGACUUCCACCUUCAAACCCUUAAACCACCUUCGAAACACCGUCAAAACCGCCGUCGCUCUCACCGGCAAACUCUCUCCAUCUACCUUCAAAUCGCGCCCUCACCGACAAACCCACACGAAACCUACUCAUCUCACAAUCUCCAAGCCGUCACCAUCCAUCAUCGCUUCCGUCCACAAUCGCGACCCAUCUUCACCGCUAAAACCUAAUCUCUAAAUCCGCCGUCAUCACCGUACCGAAGCCGUCGGUGACUUGUCAGUUCGCAACUAUCUUCGACCUUCAUCAACAGUUUGGGAUUGUGUUGUGUAAUUUUUCUGUUUUUUCAGGGAAAGUCUGAAGCUUUAGAGCCAUGGGUCCAGCACCGGUGACGAUUACAACUAGCCUCUGUUGAUAGCUUCAAAAGGAUUUUCUU
Molecule: long non-coding RNA, 13078 nt
Filed under: Lathyrus oleraceus (garden pea)
Lineage: Eukaryota; Viridiplantae; Streptophyta; Magnoliopsida; Fabales; Fabaceae
Description: Pisum sativum (pea) long non-coding RNA (PSAT_LNC037724)
Source: RNAcentral